AUUUUUAUUUUAUUUAUUUUUUUUUUUUUCCAGGGAAAACUUGAAGAGUCUUACACUUUUCAUCCUCCAGUCAUUGAUUUUUCUGUGUGGACACUGUGGUGAGGUGGUGUGAGCAAAAGGCACCUGCUUUCCUGCCCAUUUAAAGUCUAGACAUUGAAUUUGAUGGACAGAAUGUUGGCACCCACUGCAGAAGAGCUGAACAGCCUCAACACCAAAUCUCUGUCCUGAGAUACAGCAACAGGAUGUGCCUUGGAGAAGAAUCUCAGGAUAGAAUAUUUUUGAUCCAGUUCCAAAUCCGCAAGCUCAGGGUUCUGUUGGUCUGCAAGUAAGCUGGGGCAUACAAGGU
This 346-nucleotide long non-coding RNA is filed under the name Anas platyrhynchos (mallard). RNAcentral describes it as "lncRNA (ENSAPLG00020009962.1)". Lineage: Eukaryota; Metazoa; Chordata; Aves; Anseriformes; Anatidae. The record is from RNAcentral.